Molecule: transfer RNA, 69 nt
Filed under: Othius laeviusculus
Lineage: Eukaryota; Metazoa; Arthropoda; Insecta; Coleoptera; Staphylinidae
Description: tRNA-Met
Rfam family: tRNA
About the family: Transfer RNA (tRNA) molecules are approximately 80 nucleotides in length.
Source: RNAcentral
AAGAAGAUAAGCUAAAUAAGCUAAUGGGUUCAUACCCCAUUUAUAAAGGUUAUACCCCUUUUCUCCUUA